AUGAAAGAAUUCUGUCAACAAGAGCAUAUCCGGCUUGAUGUGUCAUCGGUAGCUCACCCCCAGUCUAAUGGCCAAGUUGAACGAGCUAAACAAGAAAUUUUGAGAGGUAUCAAGCCCCGGCUUAUGGUUCCUUUGCAGAGAACACCGGGUUGUUGGGUGGAGGAAUUACCCUCAGUGCUUUGGAGUAUCAAUACCACCCCCAAUAGAUAUGCGGGUUACACACCUUUCUUCAUGGUUUAUGGAGCUGAGGCGGUUCUCCCCAGUGACAUACGUCACGAUUCGCCUCGUGUGGCAGCUUAUGUUGAAGCAAACAAUGAGAAAGCAUGA
RNAcentral lists this ribosomal RNA (327 nucleotides) under Triticum aestivum (bread wheat). RNAcentral's name for it is "partial small subunit ribosomal RNA". Lineage: Eukaryota; Viridiplantae; Streptophyta; Magnoliopsida; Poales; Poaceae. The record is from RNAcentral.